This is a long non-coding RNA of Oncorhynchus tshawytscha (Chinook salmon), 533 nucleotides long. The record is from Ensembl. Lineage: Eukaryota; Metazoa; Chordata; Actinopteri; Salmoniformes; Salmonidae.
CAACCUUAGGUCAUGACGACGUGGGGACUGGUGUCCAUAUACGUUUAAAGGGCUAAUUUCGACGUGGAGGUGACGAUCAAGGAUAAAGGAUGAAUUUCUACUAGACCAGCCAGAAUUCAGCGUGAACUGAUUAUGGCAAAACGGUAUGAACUUUGAACUCUUAUUCACUAAAGAAGAAGUGAUACAUCCUAGAAGUCUAGUUAUCAGCUGCAGCUGUAAUCGUAUGUGGCCUAGGAAUCUCCUAUGAGAACGACAGGGUACUUCAACGUAUCCACUCUACAUCACUACGGCCAGAAAUAUUCUACAAAGGACAAGGGCAAUCUCUGCUGGGCAAACCAGUCUUCCAUCAUCGACCCAUCUAUCGAAGCGCAGCUCAGUCUCCAUGCUGGAGAGCCAAAAAAACCCUGGUGGCUCUGUUUCUCACCCCCAGAACUGAUUGUGCCCUCCGCUUCUCCCUCAGCGUCUUCCAGUUUACCUCUCUAACCCAGACACACCGGUAAUCUUUAAAUCUCCUCUUGGUCUUCCUUCACUGC